Molecule: long non-coding RNA, 416 nt
Organism: Pleuronectes platessa (European plaice)
Lineage: Eukaryota; Metazoa; Chordata; Actinopteri; Pleuronectiformes; Pleuronectidae
Exons: 3
Source: RefSeq, a predicted model, not a curated record
CUGCUCUAUUGCAGCACGAAGUAGAAAGCGGAAAUCAGCAAAGGUGGUUGUGAAGAGCAAGGAGGCAGAAGGGGAUAAACUGUACGGGAGACAGCUCUGUUGAUAGGAGAGGCGAGUGGGAAGACAGCAGCAUGCAGGUGCUUACCUCGCCUGACAUGUCGGGAGCCAGAGGAAUGAGAGGCCACAGGGACGAGUAGAUAAUGAAAAACACCACCCACAGGCCGAUGCUUCCCCAGAUGGCGAUGUGACUGAACUGUUGGUGAAGAAACAGAAAAACAAUAAGUGAGUCCGCCGAGAGCCGAAAGUCUCUGGGAGCUACUUACCAUGCUCGAAGGCUUUAAGGGGGAACCAGAAGAGAAUGACGGAGUGGAAGAGGCCGUUCAGACAAUGGGCCCAGAAGACCUGCAAAAAAGGAG